This 77-nucleotide transfer RNA is filed under the name Fulvivirga lutimaris. Its description in RNAcentral is "tRNA-Ala". It matches the Rfam family "tRNA". From Rfam's summary of the family: Transfer RNA (tRNA) molecules are approximately 80 nucleotides in length. Their secondary structure includes four short double-helical elements and three loops (D, anti-codon, and T loops). Further hydrogen bonds mediate the characteristic L-shaped molecular structure. tRNAs have two regions of fundamental functional importance: the anti-codon, which is responsible for specific mRNA codon recognition, and the 3' end, to which the tRNAs corresponding amino acid is attached (by aminoacyl-tRNA synthetases). tRNAs cope with the degeneracy of the genetic code in two manners: having more than one tRNA (with a specific anti-codon) for a particular amino acid; and 'wobble' base-pairing, i.e. permitting non-standard base-pairing at the 3rd anti-codon position. RNAcentral also lists the same sequence under 5 other names. The record is from RNAcentral. Lineage: Bacteria; Pseudomonadati; Bacteroidota; Cytophagia; Cytophagales; Fulvivirgaceae.
GGGGAUGUAGCUCAGUUGGCUAGAGCGCUUGACUGGCAGUCAAGAGGUCGUGGGUUCGAAUCCCAUCUUCUCCACAA